This is a non-coding RNA of Paramuricea clavata, 497 nucleotides long. NCBI's taxonomy places the organism in Eukaryota, Metazoa, Cnidaria, Anthozoa, Malacalcyonacea, Plexauridae. The record is from the annotation of a GenBank genome assembly.
CCGAAAGCAGUUUCUUUCCAGAUGAAAAUUCUUUAAAAAAGCUUGAUCAUAAAAUAAAACAAGCAAUAAUAAUGCCGGGAUGGAAAUAUAAUGGCGUUUUCCGCCCACAAUGAGAUGGGCCAAAAUGAGAGAAUAGAAACAGUUAAUUCUACAACCUCUGGGCCGCGAACUGGCGACUCGGAAUCGAAGGUUUGUAUAUGGUUUUGUACAGCUCUGAAUCAGCCUGGAAAAAAUAUACAUGCACAAAUAUAAAAUUGACAGAAUAACUCGUUUGAUUCCGGCCUGAGAUUCGGUAUUUUUCCCGUGUUGCUACUAUACAUGAUAAUAUUUAAGAAGAACAACUGUUUCUUUUCUCGGUGUUAUAAUGGUAUAAAAAGCGAUAGUUUUACAAGUGUGUUGUGAAUAUUUGUAGUUUAUACCCAAUCCUUCUGCUCAGCCAUUUGUGCCGAAGUGGAACUCAAGUAUACCGGAGAAAUUGAACAGUUACUUGGCACAGG